This is a small nuclear RNA of Manis pentadactyla (Chinese pangolin), 133 nucleotides long. RefSeq annotates it as U11 spliceosomal RNA. Lineage: Eukaryota; Metazoa; Chordata; Mammalia; Pholidota; Manidae. The record is from RefSeq and is a predicted model, not a curated record. The transcript has a single exon.
AUAAAGGACUUCUGUCAUGAGUGGCACAUGUAGGGUGGCUUGCUUUCUCUUCAUGUGUAAUCAACAUAAAGAGAUCUUGGAAGCAUAAUUUUUGGUACUUGGGCAGCUGCUGAUUGUUGGUCCUCAUGUCCCC